GUGGGGAAUAUUGGACAAUGGGCGAAAGCCUGAUCCAGCCAUGCCGCGUGUGUGAAGAAGGUCUUCGGAUUGUAAAGCACUUUAAGUUGGGAGGAAGGGCAGUAAGUUAAUACCUUGCUGUUUUGACGUUACCGACAGAAUAAGCACCGGCUAACUUCGUGCCAGCAGCCGCGGUAAUACGAAGGGUGCAAGCGUUAAUCGGAAUUACUGGGCGUAAAGCGCGCGUAGGUGGUUCAGCAAGUUGAAGGUGAAAUCCCCGGGCUCAACCUGGGAACUGCCUCCAAAACUACUGAGCUAGAGUACGGUAGAGGGUAGUGGAAUUUCCUGUGUAGCGGUGAAAUGCGUAGAUAUAGGAAGGAACACCAGUGGCGAAGGCGACUACCUGGACUGAUACUGACACUGAGGUGCGAAAGCGUGGGGAGCAAACAGGAUUAGAUACCCGUGUAGUCC
RNAcentral lists this ribosomal RNA (450 nucleotides) under uncultured bacterium. Its description in RNAcentral is "bacterial SSU rRNA". It matches the Rfam family "Bacterial small subunit ribosomal RNA", at positions 354 to 796 of the family's 1533-position model. The record is from RNAcentral.